GCCAGGCAUGGUGGUGCGUGCCUAUAAUCCCAGCUACUUGGGAGGCUGAGGCAGGAGAAUUGCUUGAACCCAGGAAGCAGAGGUUGCAGUGAGCCAAGAUUGUGCCACUGCACUCUAGCCUGGGAGACAAAGCAAGACUCUGUCUCAA
This is an unclassified non-coding RNA of Callithrix jacchus (white-tufted-ear marmoset), 148 nucleotides long. It matches the Rfam family "Metazoan signal recognition particle RNA". From Rfam's summary of the family: The signal recognition particle (SRP) is a universally conserved ribonucleoprotein. It is involved in the co-translational targeting of proteins to membranes. The eukaryotic SRP consists of a 300-nucleotide 7S RNA and six proteins: SRPs 72, 68, 54, 19, 14, and 9. NCBI's taxonomy places the organism in Eukaryota, Metazoa, Chordata, Mammalia, Primates, Cebidae. The record is from Ensembl.